Homo sapiens (human) is the source of this 4177-nucleotide long non-coding RNA. Ensembl annotates it as long intergenic non-protein coding RNA 2458. NCBI's taxonomy places the organism in Eukaryota, Metazoa, Chordata, Mammalia, Primates, Hominidae. The record is from Ensembl.
GGAACACUUGGUCACUGUGGCAGAAGGAAAGGAAAAAUGGUGAACCACUUCCUGGCUCGAAAAGCUUCUGUGUGGAAGUGACACACAUCUCUUCUGUCUACAUUUCAGAAGGGAUGGGGCCAGGGAUGCUGAGGACACACCAUGUACCCUUUUUCAGGCCAUAUCCAGUAACAGAGUCUACUGCAUCAUAUUAACUGAUAAACCCAGGAUGACAAGAGAAACAUGGGACUCACUCUUCAUUUGCAUUGACUCCAGCUAAGAGCUUCAGUUUUCAUGCUUUGCUUCAGAAUUAUUGUGGUCUGAUGCAGAACUGAAAAGGCCAACACGAGAAUCUUCAAGUACAAUUGCCUGGGAAUCCUGAGGUCUGGACAGCAACACCUGAAUCUGAAUCUCUUUUGGGUUGAAUCAUAAAAGAAAAUAGUAUGGAGAGAUUUAAGGCCAGGCCUCUGGAGAAGGAAUUGAUAAAAUAUGUGGUAGUACCUGCGCUACAGAACAGAAUUCACUUGGAAGUUCUUGGCAUAUAGUAAGCACUCAGUAACUGUCAGUUAUCGCUCUCAUCUCUAUGAAGACUGUAUUUGACAUGACAUCAUCUCCAUAAGAUUCCUGAACUCAACUUUAUUUCCUCUUUUUUCCUUUAACCCCAAUUUUCUAAUACCAAUUAGUAAGGUGGCUUCCUCUCCUUCUGGACUUGCUACUCCCAGAAGGAAAUUAAAUUACAAGUCUCUAAUUCCCUAGGCAUUCCCUUGUAGCCAAAGUCAUUAAUCAGUGGCUCAUAUUUAAAAAAAUUGCUCUAGGCCUCUGGAGACUCUUUCUAUGGCAUAAUAGAUUUUCAUUUGUUUCUCAUCCCCUGAGUAGCUUUUAAUUCAGGAUGGAUAUUUGCCCUGCAAUUUCUUUUAUUCCCUGGAUAAUUUGAAAAGCCAGGGGAACAGUGUCACUUUGUCUUAUCCCUUCCCUCUUUAUUAGUCAGUCUGUUCUAACAAAAUGUUGGUUGGUCCACGCUUUUCAUGGAAUGUCAUGGUUAACUGAUAAGCUGCCCCCAAACUCGGUAUCCUGGUUUAAUGUUAUAAUCAUAAUGCCCUCUGAGAUCACUUAGAGAAAAGCUGAGGGUAGCAACUCUGUGGAUUCUUAUUUACCUUAUGCGUUUGACAUCUGCAAUGAUGUGCUUCUUUACCACCUCCCUCAUCAAAUUAAACUAAGAAUGAAAACAGAUGGGCUGGGAAGCCAGUGGAUCAAAAGAAGGACCUGGGGGAAGCUCAGCUUGGGGACCGGCUUGCUCUUUGCCCUCACUAUUUGUCAACUGGGAAUCUCCUGGGUGCUCAGCUGUGCUGGAAUCUCAGAUGAGUAAAUUGAAGCCCAGAAAGGCCAAGAAACUUGAACCAUUUAGGUGAAGAAGAGUGCUCACCAGAUUCCCUUCUGGUCUGGAAAAAGAAAUCCCUUCUUUUGUGGAUGUCAUCUCUACCAUCUCUCGGUGAAAAAUAUUUCAAGAGAAUCCUAAGAUGGAGAGAGCAUUGGAAGUCAUCCGGCCCAAUUCCCUUGUGCAAUUCAAAGCUUCUUUGUAAGAAAAAUGCCCCCAGAAGUUUGUUUGCAUCAUGAAGAUCAGAUUUUGAGGAUCCAGUCUGGCUCUUCCCUGUACAAAACAUUCCUCACAAACAGAAUAUGGACAAUUGUUAAAUGUCAAAGGUAAAGUUAUUGUGGGAACUCCUUCAAAAAGUUCAAGUGAGAGCCCAUUCUAUGAAUGACCAUUUACAUCUAAUUUUUUUCUGUGCUAUGUUACUUAUUCUGAAGUGGUUGAUCCAAUUCCUAAAAGGGAAUAUUUCAUUACCUUUUAUUUCCUAUAGCAUCCAUUCUGACCCCUUUUCGGUUUAAUUAUUCCCUGAUUCCAGUCUUCAUUCACUCAUUUAUUUGAGGAAUAUUUAUUGACCAACAACUAUGCCAGGUCCCAUUCUAUGUGUAGGGACUAUAAAGUUGAACAAGACAGAGGAGGUACUGGCCUCAGAAUUUACAUUCUAGUAGAUGAGAAAGUAAAAAUAAACACAUGAAAACAUGAAUGAACCGGAUAUUGUAGACUGUGAUAGGUGUAGUUUGGGUAAAGCACAGAGUGCAGUAGUAAAGAUAAACUGCACUCAGAGUGGGGCUAUUUUAGAUGGAAUGGAGAUCUCUGAGGAAAUGAAAUUUGAGCUGAGACCUAAAAGGUCACCCAAGGACUCAUGGGAAAACUCAGUUGUUUCUAUCAAAAUUUAGCUUCAUGAACUCCAGGCCCUUGCAAAUGAUGGUUACCAGGUGAGAAAUGUCUCACUGGCAACAGAGGUUGGCAGACCCAGCUCCAGUUCCAUCCCAGCCAACAUACCAAUGUCAUUAAAAUAAGGCCAUUCAUCAAGGUGGAGACUAUUACUAGAAACAAGCAUUCUAAAGUGCCAUUUGAGUGCCAGGCUCUCAACACUGGGCGUAGCACUGCUCCAUGAGGCUUUUGAGAGCAUAUACUGAGGCAUGACCAAAAAAAUUAAGUCCCAUGUAAGUGAUGCAACUGCUCCCCAAUUACUGUGGAAGUAUCUGCAGACUAACUAUUGUGCGUGUGUGUUUGUUUGCUUUAAUGAAUAAAUUCAGUCAACCAACCAUCUAGCUAUUGACUAAAUCCAUUCUUUUUCUUCCAAAAUGUCUAUUGGCUGAAGUUUACUGGUUUUUAUUUCUAUUCGCAUACGUAAUUUUCUAAACCCCAUUCUUAUGGAACCUUCUCUAAGUUCCUCUCUAUGGCCCUGUCCAUGUUCAUACGGAUACACAUAAAGACACAAAUACACCAAACUAAGUUUAGAGCAGUCUGGUGCCUGCCUAAGACUUCAGCCUCAUCUCCUGCUUCUACCCUCUUUAGUUUAGGAAAAACAGGUAACGUUGCUGAGUGCCAAGUAUUGUGUUAGUAGCUUUGCAUGCAUUUUUUCAUUUUAUCUUCACAAGUUUCUUCUAUCACCAUGAUCUGUAUGUUUGACCAUGGUGUUUCCUCCACCUGAAAUUCCCUUGGUGCUCUGCCUGGGGAACUGUUACUCAUUCUUCAAAUCUCAACGGAAUGAUCUCCUCCUCUGGAAAGCUCUCCCUACUUCCCUAGGAAGAAGUAAUCCCUUCCUCAGUUCUGCUUUGAUUAUAACUUUAUAAGCACCUAUCACUCUGCAUGGUAUUAGUUCACUGUCAUGUCCAUUUCCUCUAUUGGGAUGUAAAUUGCUUAUGGGUAAUAAUUAGGCUUUGAAUCAUUUUAUGAUCUGGCCUAAGACAGUGCUUGGCACAUACUAUAGGCUCAUCAGAUGAUGGCUGAGUAGAAUUAAAUUGAAUCAAGUUGAAGUUAUACUUUGAUGUUUAUCAAUUAACAUGUGUAGUGUGUUAAAUGGUGGUCACUGAAAACAUACGUCUGCACCCUAAUUCCUGGAACCUGUGAAUAUAACCUUACAUGUUAAGAAGAAAUAUGACCUUAAAUGGAUAUGGAGACAAGGAGCUUAUCCUGGAUUGUCUGAGAGGGCCCUAGAUGCAAUCGCAUGUAUUCUGAUAAGUGGAGAGAAACAGAAGAGGAGGAUGCAAUGUGACCAUGUAGGCAGAAGUUUGAAUGGUGCAGCCACAAGCCAAGGAGCCCCUGGGGCCAUCAGAAGCUGGAAGAAGCAAGGAAUGGAUUCCUUCCUAGUGUUUGGAAGGAGUGUGCACUUGCCAACACCUUGGUUUGAGACUUCUGGCCUCUGGAACUGUGACAGAAUAAAUAUCUGUUGUUUUGAGCCACCCAAUUGUUGCUAAUUUGUUAAAGCAACCUUAGAAAAUUAAUAUAGCAUCCACAAUAAAAUUUCUCAAAAUAUAUGUUCCUGUGAAAUGGAAGAGUUCUAGGGAUCUAGUAGCAUAUACGGAACCCAGAUAAGUUAUACAAGUUUUUCCCUGAAAGUCUUUUCAGAUUCUUUAGCGGGCUAAGGUGCAUUGUGAAUCCCAAAAACUUUAGCGUUUUUCAGCAUCUAUUAUCACAUAAUCCUUUCCCCACCCAUGGAAUUAUAUACUAAACUGUUUUUGUAGAUGUUGAUGUUCUGUAGAACAGAGUUUUGGGGUCUGUAUGACUUAAGAUCCUUCUACAAUGGAACACAGUGAGGAGGGUAUUCAGAGGAGUCAUAGAGGGCAUUGAUCUUGCAAUAUAUACUCAGGAAAUUACCAUGGGCAG